This 238-nucleotide unclassified non-coding RNA is filed under the name Hevea brasiliensis (rubber tree). The record is from RNAcentral. Lineage: Eukaryota; Viridiplantae; Streptophyta; Magnoliopsida; Malpighiales; Euphorbiaceae.
ACUACCUUACAACAAUAGGCACAUUGAUAUUGCAGAAGAAACAAUGUCGCUGGACUUUGAAAUAAAUCAACCAGUUUGCCUGUUCUAACUUAAUAUGGAUGACAAUGGAAUUUAUACUCUAUCAAGGACCUAUUUUUCACCAUUUAAUUGACAAAAAAAAUUGAAGCACAGCAAACCGCCAAUCACAGUCCUCACGCAUCACACCCUAAAUUAAGAUGUGAUGGUCCUACAAACAUAA